RNA transcript from Spinacia oleracea (spinach), 2238 nucleotides. RefSeq lists it as uncharacterized. The record is from RefSeq and is a predicted model, not a curated record. Lineage: Eukaryota; Viridiplantae; Streptophyta; Magnoliopsida; Caryophyllales; Amaranthaceae. The transcript is spliced from 3 exons.
CUUUCUUCUCACAAACACACACAAAAAGAAGAGAGAAAAAAAACCAGAGGAGAGAGAGAGAAGAAGAAUUUGUUUUUUGAAAAAACAAUGGCCGCCUAUAUUUCAGAAUCUGAUUCCCAAGAAAAACAAUUAAUCACCACCCAAACAACCCCUACCUCCGAACAACAACGAUAUGAAGAAGAAGAGGUGAUUGUUUAUAAGCCAAAGCCCAAAACCAGGAAACCCAAAAAGAGGGUCCCACAAGUAUGUUUAGAAGGGUAUGUAGAAGACGAUGAUUUGCCCAGAACAAAGAGCUUAACGGAUGAUGAUCUUGAUGAGUUAAAGGGUUGUUUGGAUUUAGGGUUUGGGUUUAGUUAUGAUGAAAUCCCUGAACUUUGUAAUACUUUGCCUGCUUUGGAGCUUUGUUAUUCUAUGUCUCAGAAGUUUCUAGAUGACCAUCCUAAUCAACAACAUCACCUCCACCAGGGAGGUGGUUCCGGUGGUGUUUCUUCUGAUACGGCUUCGUUUUCCGGUUCCGAAAGUUCCAGUCCCAUGCCUACCUGGAAGAUCUCUAGUCCUGGUGACCAUCCUGAAGAUGUCAAAGCGAGGCUUAAGUUUUGGGCUCAGACCGUGGCUUGUACUGUCAAGUUAUGCAGCUAGAUUGCAAUGGCGUCGACUGAUUUGAUCAGUCAAGGAUGAAGGAUGUCUUAUUUUCCCUAAAAGAUGAAUAUUCUCAACUUUCGUGAUCAAAAUGGAUCUUUGAAUGGGAAGAUGAGCAUGCCAGGACCGCCAAACUUUAGAACUUUGCGACUGAAUUUUUGAACAAGAUGGAUUCAGAACCAUUUGAGAAGAGGGCCGUGUCAGGUCUGAGAUGAUUCAACUAACCGAUGAUGUGUAUGCCAUUGCAGCUGUUCUUAGAGACCUCUGCAUUGCUGAGGUAACUCCUUCUAUUGGACAAUCAGUCUGAUAAUCAGUCUUGGUUUAUUGCCAAUCCUUUUGAUUAUCUCUGUCUGGUGAAUGGUUAUCUGAUGUGAUGAUGAAUGCCAAUACGGAUCCAAUCUAACAUGAAAAUCACUAUUGUCAUUUGCAAGUUGGUUUUUCGACAAUGGCAAAACUACGUGCUUACUUUGUUUAUACGACUGAUUACUAACUUGUUCUUACGUUUGAAGAUGAGCACUCUUGAUGAUUCUUUUGUCGGUCUACUGCAACUUGCUUUCGAAGUUUGGCAUUCUAGCGGAGGUGUCUUUGUCCAUCUCCCAAACUCAUAUCCGUGGCGUGGUUUGCCUUGUCAUACUUGUUCCAUCUAAAAUUCUUGUCCACAUAACUUGGUUGGUGAAUUGGAGAUAUUUUCUCAAGUUGUUCUUUGUAUGUGUUCUUGCAGAAGUUUGGUACACUAACAUGAAGUGGCUGUUCUAGCCGGGUGAUGGAGACCCGGAAUGCCUAAUUGCUGGUUGGUUCCUUACUUGUCUUAUAGCUUAAAAUAGUUUGAAAUCGAGCCAAUUAGUAGUUCUCUGUACUUCUGUAGUAGCUAACAUAUCCCCAAUACUCAGAUGUGGUUGCAACCUGAGUUUGUUCUGUUCAUGUCAUAUUUUAGCUAUAUAACUGCUUCAUGGUUAAUUUUGUGUCUAUUAGAAUGAUCAGUAGGACACUUGCCUAACUCUGAGUCCCAUCUUACUUCGAAUCUCAUAAGAGUAUAAGACUCAGACUAACCCGAAGUGAUCUGAUAGUACUAACCUAGCUGAUGCGGUAUUAAUCUGCCUUUGUACUAACAAAUGACACCAUAAACCCGUGACCUUGAAGUUACGAGUUUUAUGUUGAUGGAUGCGGCGAAACUAGAAGAGAAGGAACAUGAGACGAGCCAUAGUGAGACAGAAGACCGGGAUCUGGAUUGGUUUGAGUUAAGCUGCUGUCAGCAUUUUUCGCUGAAAUCCAGCUUGUGUGGAUCUUGAAGCUUUGUUUGCGGGAGAGUUGAUUAAGAGAUACGGCUACAGGCUGCAGCUGACAGAUUCUUACUUGAAAUAGAUUCGUAUUAAACUUAGAUUUUGGGCUUUUGACUCUAGUAAACUUGCGAAUCCCGUCUCUGACUUAUUGAUAUCAGAAUAUUUUGGUUAGAUUGACAAAUCUGAAUCGUAAGUAUAAGAAUUAAUCAUUUGAUGUUUAGUUGGCCAGAUUAAUCUGGCAAGUGGUGUUGAUUAAUCUUAAGUUGUUGGCAUAUUCUUUGGUAUUAUGGUAUAAUAUCACCUAACUGAUUUCAUUUCA